GUUUCAGACCGGGUUUGGAAUUGGGUUUCAGACCGGGUUUGGAAUCGGGUCUCAGAGCUGGUCUCAGACCGGGUUUGGAAUCGGGUCUCAGACCGGGUUUGGAAUCGGGAGCUAACGGGUCCCUUUUCUCCCUUGCCCACUCCCCCCAGAUCCCCCGGGCCCCUCAGGUGCCGAAGGCUUCACCCCCCGCCCUGAGGAGGAGGAAGAGGAGGAGGAGGAGGAGGAGGCCGAAGGCUCACCCACGCCCGGCGAACCCGACACGGCCGAGCUGCGUCGCCGCCGCCUGCGGAAACUGGGGGCGCCGGCCCCGGCCCCCUCCCUCUGACGGCCCCGGCCUCCCUUUUGGAGACCCGCCCCUCCCCCGGAGGCCGCUGACACCCUCGGCCUCCAUUUUGGGGACGCUCAGAGGCCGCCGCACCCCCCGGCCUCCGUUUUGGGGGGACCCUUGGAGGGCCGCUGUCCCCCUCGGCCUCCCUUUCGGAGACUCCCCUCGCCCUCCAUUUUGGAGCCCCCCACGAGCCGCCCGCGCCUCCUUUCCCCCCACUUUUCACCCCAAAAAAAAAGCAAUCUGGAGGCUCACGGCCUCCCCUGUGGGGGGGGAGUUCCCCUCAGCAGCGCCCCCUGACCCGUUUUUGCCCAUUUUCACCCCAUUUUUCUCUACCUCCGGAUUUGGGACGGGGUUCGGUUAUGAAAACACCGUCCCCCUUUGAAAUUGCUCAAAACCUCGUGGUUUUAACCCAGUUUUCUUCUCGGGUCCCCCCCCCGGCGGCUCUCAACCCCCCAACCCGCUUCAGUUUUGGGGUCAAACCCGAAAGCUUUGAGCCAUUUGGGAUUUUGGGGUGCUUUCCGCCCCCCUCCUUGCAGUAUUAACCCUUUAUCCUCGGGACAGCUCCGGGGGGGGGGUUGGGGGCGUUUCACCCCCUCCUGGCCCCAAAAUGUGGGGUUUUCACCCCGUUUUCCCCCCGGGAAGGCGACCCCGGCCGCAAAUCCCGUUGGCCCUUGCCCUUCAGUGCCUCUUCGAACCGAGCGGGCUUCCAGGAGCCCCAAAAUCUCAGGGAAAAACGGGGGCCGGGGGGGGAGCCCGGGGUGGAAUUUUGGGCUCGUUUAGGCAAAAUCGGGCAAUAACGAGGCGGGAGUUGAUCUUUUAAUCGGUUUUUUUUGUUUGUUUAAUUUGGAGUGGAAACGGCGGAGCUGCGGCCGGUCGAGGAUUUUUGGGGUGGGUUCCUCGGGGUUUUCCUUCGUUUCGGGGCGGGUUUGAAAAGGGGAGUAAAGGAGGGGGGUUGCAAAGGGGGGCAUCUGGCCCCAAAAACACCCCCUUUGACCCCAAAAUCCUUCCUUUUGACCCUAAGACCCCUCACUUUAACCCCAAAUCCCUCCUUUGGACACCAAAUCCCUUCCUUUUGGCCCCAAAUCCCUUCUUUUUGACCCUAAAACAACUCCUUGUGACCCUAAAAUCCCUCCUUUUCACCCCAGACCUUUUUUUUUUGACCCCGAAACCCAUCCCUUAUCCCCAGAAUCCCUCCUUUUGACCUUAAAUCAGCCCAUUUUGCCCCCAAGAUCCCUCCUUGUCAUCCCAGAACCGCCCCCUUCGGUCCCAAAUCCGUUUUUUUGACCCCAAACCCCUCCCUUUUGACCCCCGAAACGCCCCGUUUUGACCCUAAAACCCCUCCCUUUGACCCUAAGCUCCUACUUUUCACCCUAAACCCCUCC
Molecule: long non-coding RNA, 1710 nt
Organism: Anser cygnoides (Swan goose)
Lineage: Eukaryota; Metazoa; Chordata; Aves; Anseriformes; Anatidae
Source: Ensembl